Molecule: ribosomal RNA, 254 nt
Filed under: uncultured bacterium
Lineage: Bacteria
Description: partial 16S ribosomal RNA
Rfam family: Bacterial small subunit ribosomal RNA
Source: RNAcentral
UACAGAGGUGGCAAGCGUUGUUCGGAAUUACUGGGCGUAAAGGGCGCGUAGGCGGUCUUCUAAGUCUUGUGUGAAAUCCCUCGGCUCAACUGAGGAACUGCACGGGAUACUGGAAGACUUGAGUUCGGGAGAGGGAAGCGGAAUUCCGGGUGUAGCGGUGAAAUGCGUAGAUAUCCGGAGGAACACCGGUGGCGAAGGCGGCUUCCUGGACCGAUUACUGACGCUGAGACGCGAAAGCGUGGGGAGCAAACAGG